Molecule: long non-coding RNA, 312 nt
Organism: Hibiscus syriacus
Lineage: Eukaryota; Viridiplantae; Streptophyta; Magnoliopsida; Malvales; Malvaceae
Exons: 3
Source: RefSeq, a predicted model, not a curated record
ACCCACUGGAUAAAACUGGUAAAAGUUUGAUGGAAGAUGAGUUAGAUGAAUCUGUGAAGUUACCUAAAAAGUAGGAGUCUCCUUUGCAAACAGCUUCUCUGGAUGUGGAUUAUGAAUCUGAUGUCUCAGAACAUGAUGUUAAGGUAUGCGAUAUUUGUGGGGAUGCAAGACGAGAAGAUUUGCUUGCUAUAUGUAGCAAGUGCACCGAUGGUGCAGAACACACUUACUGUAUGCGAGAAAUACUUCGGAAAGUUCCUAAAGGUGAUUGACUCUGUGAAUAAUGCAAGCUGGCUGAGGAAACUGAAAGCCAAA